AAAUUGAAGAGUUUGAUCAUGGCUCAGAUUGAACGCUGGCGGCAGGCCUAACACAUGCAAGUCGAGCGGAAACGAGUUAUCUGAACCUUCGGGGAACGAUAACGGCGUCGAGCGGCGGACGGGUGAGUAAUGCCUAGGAAAUUGCCCUGAUGUGGGGGAUAACCAUUGGAAACGAUGGCUAAUACCGCAUGAUGCCUUUGGGCCAAAGAGGGGGACCUUGGGGCCUCUCGCGUCAGGAUAUGCCUAGGUGGGAUUAGCUAGUUGGUGAGGUAAGGGCUCACCAAGGCGACGAUCCCUAGCUGGUCUGAGAGGAUGAUCAGCCACAC
RNAcentral lists this ribosomal RNA (326 nucleotides) under Vibrio parahaemolyticus. Its description in RNAcentral is "bacterial SSU rRNA". It matches the Rfam family "Bacterial small subunit ribosomal RNA", at positions 1 to 313 of the family's 1533-position model. The record is from RNAcentral. Lineage: Bacteria; Pseudomonadati; Pseudomonadota; Gammaproteobacteria; Vibrionales; Vibrionaceae.